GUUAAUACACUCUACUGAUCCCUGAUGGGAGAAUCAUCACCUCUGCCAACAAAGAAGCCUGGUGGAUGUUUGUUUACAGUCUGAUGAUGCGACACCAUGCUCUGCAUCUUCAAAGUUUGUCUCUUGAUUAUUAUUCAUACACAGUAAUGUGAAGCAUGCUCAUAUCUAGUAUAACUGGACCAACCUGGUGCUCUUCAUUUAUGGAGGCUGUUGAGUCUGAAUGUUGGAUGUUGUGUAUCUCGUGUUCUCUGGGCUUUGUUGUCCUCAGUCUUUUUGCAGGAUCAGAAAACAAAACCAGGAGGCCUGUAAAUGUUUCUUCUCCAAUUGGAUGAUGAUAAGACUGUGACAUGGGAUGCCACCUUUAGUCUUGUGAUGAAGCAAAGCUCAGGAAGAAGUGUGAUUAAAUGGUACCCACAUGUGUGCUGCUGAGAAGGAUGUACAGGGGCACCUGCAGCCAAAUCCAAGCCUCCUCAGAUGGUGAUGGUGUGGAGAGACGGUGGUGUUUCCUCAGAAGAACUAGCAGAGUCACCAAGGGCACGAGUCCAUCUCACCACCUUGACUUGCUGACUGAUGCUCGUCUGCACUGCACAGAGGAAAUCAACUGACCGAGGUUUGUCCAGUGACGUGUUAUGAAAUGUAUAUUUGUUUUAUGCUUACAGAUUUGUUUUUCUUGACAGAGGCUCUGCAGAGGUUAGACAAAGCAGAGAAAAUAUGUGCUUUACAUUUUACUGUGAUUUACUGUGAUAUUUGUUGCCUGAUGUUCAGCAGGAAUGGAGAAAUGGAAUCAAAGGGAGAAGUUUUUGAUGUUUUUGUAAUGAUGUAAGUAAAUCUCCAGUUUCUGAGUGAGGGAGAGAGGAGUCAUCAUCCAGGUAAAGUGACGUGGAUCAGUGGAUACACUUGUCUUCGCUUUCAAAGGCGAUACUCUUAGAGAGAGACGAUCCGAGUCAUCCUUAAAUGUUAGUGCUUUCAAAUACACAAACAUUUUUAAAGGACAAAAUCGAACAUCCCACUUUGACUGUAAUACAAUUAAAUCUUUGCAUGUGUGUUUUCAAACUCUCAGAUGGGCAGGAUAUCAGUCUUGGACUGUGUAACCUGCAGGAGCAGCAUUGAAUGACCACCACACAUGAGCAUGUUCCUGCAACAUUCAGCAGCUUUGCUUUUGGUAAGUAGAGUUAUUUAACUACAGUAAUUAUAAACACAUGAUAUCCAUUUCUAACGGCCUGGUUACUUCC
RNAcentral lists this long non-coding RNA (1232 nucleotides) under Oreochromis niloticus (Nile tilapia). RNAcentral's name for it is "lncRNA (ENSONIG00000034692.1)". The record is from RNAcentral. Lineage: Eukaryota; Metazoa; Chordata; Actinopteri; Cichliformes; Cichlidae.